GUUUACAUCACAGUAGCCUGAAUGGACCUGUGCUAUUCUCAUCUUGGAUGCUAAGCAGUCAUGAGCUGGCUAGUAAUUGGAUGGGAGACCAGCUUGGGAUCCCAGGUAUUGUAGAUC
Molecule: ribosomal RNA, 117 nt
Organism: Crocodylus porosus (Australian saltwater crocodile)
Lineage: Eukaryota; Metazoa; Chordata; Crocodylia; Crocodylidae
Source: Ensembl